GACGAACGCUGGCGGCGUGCUUAACACAUGCAAGUCGGACGGAAAGGCCCUGCUUUUGUGGGGUGCUCGAGUGGCGAACGGGUGAGUAACACGUGAGUAACCUGCCCUUGACUUUGGGAUAACUUCAGGAAACUGGGGCUAAUACCAGAUAGGAGCUCCUGCUGCAUGGUGGGGGUUGGAAAGUUUCGGCGGUUGGGGAUGGACUCGCGGCUUAUCAGCUUGUUGGUGGGGUAGUGGCUUACCAAGGCUUUGACGGGUAGCCGGCCUGAGAGGGUGACCGGCCACAUUGGGACUGAGAUACGGCCCAGACUCCUACGGGAGGCAGCAGUGGGGAAUAUUGCACAAUGGGCGGAAGCCUGAUGCAGCAACGCCGCGUGCGGGAUGACGGCCUUCGGGUUGUAAACCGCUUUCGCCUGUGACGAAGCGUGAGUGACGGUAAUGGGUAAAGAAGCACCGGCUAACUACGUG
This 468-nucleotide ribosomal RNA is filed under the name uncultured bacterium. RNAcentral describes it as "partial 16S ribosomal RNA". It matches the Rfam family "Bacterial small subunit ribosomal RNA", at positions 28 to 507 of the family's 1533-position model. The record is from RNAcentral.